AGAGGGUGCGAGCGUUAAUCGGAAUUACUGGGCGUAAAGGGCACGUAGGUGGAUAGAUAAGUUGGGUGUGAAAUCCCCCGGGCUUAACCUGGGCAAGUCAUCCAAAACUGUUUAUCUAGAGUACGGUAGAGGGAAGUGGAAUUUCCGGUGUAGCGGUGAAAUGCGUAGAUAUCGGAAGGAACACCAGUGGCGAAGGCGACUUCCUGGACUGAUACUGACACUGAGGUGCGAAAGCGUGGGUAGCAAACAGGAUUAGAUACCCUGGUAGUCCACGCCGUAAACGAUGAGAACUAGCCGUUGGAAGAUACAAUCUUCAAGUGGCGCAGCUAACGCGAUAAGUUCUCCGCCUGGGGGAGUACGACCGCAAGGUUA
This 372-nucleotide ribosomal RNA is filed under the name uncultured organism. RNAcentral describes it as "partial 16S ribosomal RNA". It matches the Rfam family "Bacterial small subunit ribosomal RNA", at positions 527 to 896 of the family's 1533-position model. The record is from RNAcentral.